AUUACUCCUACGGGAGGCAGCAGUAGGGAAUAUUGGACAAUGGGCGCAAGCCUGAUCCAGCCAUCCCGCGUGAAGGAUUAAGGUCCUAUGGAUUGUAAACUUCUUUUCUCUGGGAAUAAAAACCGGGAUUCAUUCCUGGCUUGAAGGUACCAGAGGAAUAAGCACCGGCUAACUCCGUGCCAGCAGCCGCGGUAAUAAU
RNAcentral lists this ribosomal RNA (199 nucleotides) under uncultured bacterium. Its description in RNAcentral is "partial 16S ribosomal RNA". It matches the Rfam family "Bacterial small subunit ribosomal RNA", at positions 332 to 526 of the family's 1533-position model. The record is from RNAcentral.